GACGAGGUGGAGCGAACCCCUAAAACGACCAUCUCAGUUCGGAUUGCAGGCUGCAACCCGCCUGCAUGAAGUUGGAAUUGCUAGUAAUCGCGGAUCAGCAUGCCGCGGUGAAUACGUUCCCGGGCCUUGUACACACCGCCCGUCACACCAUGGGAGUCGGAAAUGCCCGAAGUCAGUGACCCAACCGAGAGGAGGGAGCUGCCGAAGGUGGAGCCGGUAACUGGGGUGAAGUCGUAACAAGGUACC
Molecule: ribosomal RNA, 246 nt
Filed under: uncultured bacterium
Lineage: Bacteria
Description: partial 16S ribosomal RNA
Rfam family: Bacterial small subunit ribosomal RNA
Source: RNAcentral